RNAcentral lists this ribosomal RNA (468 nucleotides) under uncultured bacterium. Its description in RNAcentral is "partial 16S ribosomal RNA". It matches the Rfam family "Bacterial small subunit ribosomal RNA", at positions 28 to 507 of the family's 1533-position model. The record is from RNAcentral.
GACGAACGCUGGCGGCGUGCUUAACACAUGCAAGUCGAACGGAAAGGCCCUGCUUUUGUGGGGUGCUCGAGUGGCGAACGGGUGAGUAACACGUGAGUAACCUGCCCUUGACUUUGGGAUAACUUCAGGGAACUGGGGCUAAUAUCGGAUAGGAGCUCCUGCUGCAUGGUGGGGGUUGGAAAGUUUCGGCGGUUGGGGAUGGACUCGCGGCUUAUCCGCUUGUUGGUGGGGUAGUGGCUUACCAAGGCUUUGACGGGUAGCCGGCCUGAGAGGGUGACCGGGCACAUUGGGACUGAGAUACGGACCAGUAUGCUACGGGACGCAGCAGUGGGGAAUCUUGCACAAUGGGCGGGAGCGUGAUGCAGCAGCGCCGGGUGCGGGAUGACGGCCUUCGGGUUGUAAACCGCUUUCGCAUGUGACGAAGCGUGAGUGACGGUAAUGAGUAAAGAAGCAACGGCUAACUACGUG